GCCCGCAUGGUGGAAUCGGUAGACACAACAGACUUAAAAUCUGUCGAUCGCAAGGUCGUGCCAGUUCGAGUCUGGCUGCGGGCACCA
RNAcentral lists this transfer RNA (87 nucleotides) under Alphaproteobacteria bacterium. RNAcentral's name for it is "tRNA-Leu". It matches the Rfam family "tRNA". Rfam says of the family: Transfer RNA (tRNA) molecules are approximately 80 nucleotides in length. Their secondary structure includes four short double-helical elements and three loops (D, anti-codon, and T loops). Further hydrogen bonds mediate the characteristic L-shaped molecular structure. tRNAs have two regions of fundamental functional importance: the anti-codon, which is responsible for specific mRNA codon recognition, and the 3' end, to which the tRNAs corresponding amino acid is attached (by aminoacyl-tRNA synthetases). tRNAs cope with the degeneracy of the genetic code in two manners: having more than one tRNA (with a specific anti-codon) for a particular amino acid; and 'wobble' base-pairing, i.e. permitting non-standard base-pairing at the 3rd anti-codon position. Lineage: Bacteria; Pseudomonadati; Pseudomonadota; Alphaproteobacteria. The record is from RNAcentral.